This 68-nucleotide transfer RNA is filed under the name Rattus norvegicus (Norway rat). It matches the Rfam family "tRNA". Rfam says of the family: Transfer RNA (tRNA) molecules are approximately 80 nucleotides in length. The record is from Rfam by way of RNAcentral. Lineage: Eukaryota; Metazoa; Chordata; Mammalia; Rodentia; Muridae.
GGGAAUUUAGCUUAGUGGUAGAGCGCUUGCCUAGCAAGCACAAGACCCUGGGUUCGGUCCCCAGCUCU